ACCCGCUGAACUUAAGCAUAUCAAUAAGCGGAGGAAAAGAAACUAACAAGGAUUCCCCUAGUAACUGCGAGUGAAGCGGGAAAAGCUCAAAUUUAAAAUCUGGCGGUUCUGCCGUCCGAGUUGUAGUCUGGAGAAGCGUUUUCCGUGCUGGACCGUGUAAAAGUCUCUUGGAACAGAGCAUCAUAGAGGGUGAGAAUCCCGUCUUUGACACGGACUACCAGUGCUUUGUAAUGCGCUCUCGAAGAGUCGCGUUGUUUGGGAAUGCAGCGCAAAAUGGGUGGUAUAUUCCAUCUAAAGCUAAAUAUUGGCGAGAGACCGAUAGCGAACAAGUACCGUGAGGGAAAGAUGAAAAGCACUUUGGAAAGAGAGUUAAACAGUACGUGAAAUUGUUGAAAGGGAAACGCUUGAAGUCAGUCGCAUCUGCUGGGACUCAGCCUUGCAUUUUUGCUUGGUGUAUUUCCUAGUUGAUGGGCCAGCAUCGAUUUUGACCGUUGGAUAAAGUUCGAGGGAAUGUGACACCUCCGGGUGUGUUAUAGCCCUUGUCCGCAUGCAACGGUUGGGAUCGAGGUUCGCAGCACGCCUUUAUGGCCGGGGUUCGCCCACGUACGUGCUUAGGAUGCUGGCGUAAUGGCUUU
Molecule: ribosomal RNA, 635 nt
Filed under: uncultured fungus
Lineage: Eukaryota; Fungi
Description: eukaryotic LSU rRNA
Rfam family: Eukaryotic large subunit ribosomal RNA
Source: RNAcentral